UACGGAAGGCAGCAGUGGGGAAUAUUGCACAAUGGGCGCAAGCCUGAUGCAGCCAUGCCGCGUGUAUGAAAAAGGCCUUCGGGUUGUAAAGUACUUUCAGUCGUGAGGAAGGUGUUAAGGUUAAUAACCUUAGCAAUUGACGUUAGCGACAGAAGAAGCACCGGCUAACUCCGUGCCAGCAGCCGCGGUAAUACGGAGGGUGCGAGCGUUAAUCGGAAUUACUGGGCGUAAAGGGCACGCAGGCGGUUAAUUAAGUUGGAUGUGAAAUCCCCGGGCUUAACCUGGGAAUGGCAUUCAAGACUGGUUAGCUAGAGUCUUGUAGAGGGGGUAGAAUUCCAUGUGUAGCGGUGAAAUGCGUAGAGAUGUGGAGGAAUACCGGUGGCGAAGGCGGCUCCCUGGACAAAGACUGACGCUCAUGUGCGAAAGCGUGGGGAGCGAAACAGGGAUUAGAUACC
RNAcentral lists this ribosomal RNA (455 nucleotides) under uncultured bacterium. Its description in RNAcentral is "bacterial SSU rRNA". It matches the Rfam family "Bacterial small subunit ribosomal RNA", at positions 340 to 786 of the family's 1533-position model. The record is from RNAcentral.